Molecule: ribosomal RNA, 119 nt
Filed under: Chelonia mydas (Green sea turtle)
Lineage: Eukaryota; Metazoa; Chordata; Testudines; Cheloniidae
Source: RNAcentral
GACACAAUCAACACCACCCUGAACACGCCCGAUCUUGUCUGAUCUCGGAAGCUAAGCAGGGUCGGGCCUGGUUAGUACUUGGAUGGGAGACCUCGUGGGAAUAGUGGGUGCUGUAGGCU